CUCUCAUCAUUGAUGUUUCUGUCUCUCUCUCCCUCUCCCUUCCUGUCUGAAAUCAAUAAAAUUAAUUUAAAAGAAAAAAAAGAUGUAAAGAGGUGAGGGGUGAAUCACACAGAUCUCUGGAGUAAGAGGGUUUCAGCCAGAGAGAAUAGCAAGUGCAAAAGGCCCUGAGGAAGGAGCAUUUUGUGCAAAGGGAUGACAUGAUCUGACUGAAAUGUUAGCACAAUCACCUGAGUGUGCUGCUAUGUGGAGAAUAAACAAAGGAAAACAAGAACUUAAAUAGGAAGACAAACUGGGAGGCUCUUGUAAUAAUCCUGAUGAAUCUCAGAGGGAGGAUGGGGUUGGGAGGUUCGGAGGGAGAGAGAUUAACCUAGGAACCUAUAUGCAUAUAUGCAUAGCCCGUGGACACAGAAAAUAGUGUGGUAAAGGCCUGGGGUGGGAUGGAAGGAGUCAAUGGGAAAAAAAGGGGGAACAUCUAUAAUACUUUCAACGAUAAAGAUUUUUUAAAAAAGUGUGGUAUUGGCCAAGGUUAACCAAUACAUCAGUGGAACAAGUAGAGUCUAGAAACAGAUCCACACAAAAUGCACUCAAUUGAUUUUGAGAAAGACAGCAGGCACUUCAAUGGGUAGGGGAAGUUAUAGCAAUAAUUUGUGCUAGAAUAACAAGUUUCUCAUGUAGAAAAAAAUGAGCCUCGGCCCCAUCUCAUACACAAAAAGUAGUUCAGUAUAUAUCACAAACCUCAACACGCAAGCCGAAACUCUAAAGCUUCUGGAAGAGAACAUGGGAGACUAUCUUCAUAAGCUUAGAGUAGGCAAAGAUUGUUUUAAAAAUACAGGGCACAGAAAGCAAUAACCAUAAAAAAAUGGACAUGCCCUCACCGGGUGGCUGGGUUGGUUGGAGUGUUGUCCAAUACACCAAAAGGUUGCCGGUUCAAUUCCUAGGUUAUGUCAGGGCACAUGCAGGAGGCAACCCAUUGAUGUUUCUCUCUCCCUUCCUCUCUCAAAAAAAAAAAAAAAAUUACAUCCUUGGGUGAGGAUUAAAAGAAAAAAAAUGUAUAACUUUCCCUUUCCUUCUAGGAGGGUCCGAGAAUCUCCUUCCACAGCAGCCAUACCCCCCUGCACCUCAAGGUGCCAACACUCCCCACAUGCUCCACACAGAGCCCCCAGCCCUCCACUCCAUGGCCACCAAGUCUCCAUGUCUCCCCAGAGCACAAGCCUCCAGGGAUCAUUCCAGGACCCCUGCCACAAUUCACUCAACAAUUCCCUUUAAAGCAACUUAAAUCUUAUCCCGCCUUCUUUACCUUUGUCCUGAACAAUCACUGCUGUGAAAUCGCUAGUUUGACAGGUAUGUCAUUAUUCUUCAUUACAUAUUAAAAUAAAUCCCUAACCAUUAAAAAUAUUCUAAAAUAUGUGAACCACCUAAAAUUAUUUCACAUACUGUUCGUUUUACAUGUUCUUGGGAAUAUGUGUAUGAAUGUGUGUGAGCAUGUGUGUGUCUAAUGGGAUGUGUGUGUAGUUAUACAUGUGUAUGCAUAUGGGUGGAUGUGAGCAUGGGCAUGUGAAUGAAUAUGCACGUGAGUGUAUAUGUAAAUGUUGCUGCCUGGUAGGUGAGUAUAGAUGUGUGUGUGUGUGUGUGUGUGUGUGUGUGUGUGUGUGUGUGUGUGAAUGAGUGUAAGUGCAUAUGUCCUGAGUAUGUCUGAGUGCACAGUGUGCAUGAGUGUCUGGUGGGAUGGGGUGGAGGAAGAUGAGAGGAUGAAGGGUCCUAGUGGGGGGUGACCACGUUCCCCUGCCCCCCAGCAAUGAGCCCUACUCACCAGGAACAGACAGGGCAGAGAAAAGGCAUGUGGGCCAGCAGCCCCUCCAGUAUGUCCCUGUUUGUUUAUCCACAGGCCCUUCAGGGGGAGGGGAGUGUCUCCUUGACCACAGGAGCACCUGGUUACAGCCGGCAUCCUGGUAACCAUCGCCAGGGACUGGGAGUGCUUCUGGGAACAGCAGCAGCCAGCAGGCGGGGGCAGAUCCUCUCUGCUAUAUUUACAGAAGCCAAGAAUGAAAAGGCUUUAGGUUAGAAUGCCUCCAUGCAGUAUCUACAUCUGAAAGGCAGCCAUUCAGCCGGAAGAAAUGACUGGCAGGACAGCCCCAGGCCGGCCAGACCUCCCACAGGCUUUUCUUGUUUGGUGAAGCCAGUAUGAAUGGUUUCUUUACAGGAGCAGCUGCCUGGGUUCCAAGGAAUCGAACCUGAGACCCUUCAGUCUGUGGGCCCAUGCUCUUACCACUGAG
Myotis myotis is the source of this 2273-nucleotide long non-coding RNA. RefSeq lists it as uncharacterized. The record is from RefSeq and is a predicted model, not a curated record. NCBI's taxonomy places the organism in Eukaryota, Metazoa, Chordata, Mammalia, Chiroptera, Vespertilionidae. The transcript is spliced from 3 exons.